Molecule: ribosomal RNA, 95 nt
Filed under: uncultured bacterium
Lineage: Bacteria
Description: partial 16S ribosomal RNA
Source: RNAcentral
CACACCGCCCGUCACACCAUGGGAGUUGACUGCACCAGAAGCAGGUAGCCUAACCGCAAGGAGGCGAUUACCACGGCAGGGUUCGUGACUGGGUG